This 4361-nucleotide long non-coding RNA is filed under the name Canis lupus familiaris (dog). Its description in RNAcentral is "lncRNA (ENSCAFG00845014902.1)". The record is from RNAcentral. Lineage: Eukaryota; Metazoa; Chordata; Mammalia; Carnivora; Canidae.
UUUUUUUUUAAAUUUAUUUAUUCAUGAUAGUCACACGGAGAGAGAGAGAGAGGCAGAGACACAGGCAGAGGGAGAAGCAGGCUCCAUGCACCGGGAGCCUGACGUGGGAUUUGAUCCCGGGUCUCCAGGAUCGCGCCCUGGGCCAAAGGCAGGCGCCAAACCGCUGCGCCACCCAGGGAUCCCUGGUUUCAAAUAAUUUAAAUGGGAGAAAAACUGAUAAACAUCCUCUGUCCCAUAAGCUUAGCAAAUCUUGUUUCCUAUCAUAUAGAGAUACUAUACACUACCUCAAUCCAAUUUAUCAAUUAUGAAUCACAGACUUAUGUUAUAUUUACAUAACUAUACCAUAUUUUAUUAUACUCAUCUCUAUACCUGUAGCACUUUUUAAAUUUUUUAAAAAUAUUUGUUUGUUUGUUGUUUAUUGGGACACCCGGGUGGCUCAGUGGUUGAACGCAGGCCUUCGGGUCGGGGCGUGACUCCAGAAUCCCCCCGAUCGAUCCCACAUCAGACUCCCUGCAUGGAGCCUGCUUCUCCCUCUACUUAUGUCUUUGCCUCUCUCUCUCUCUCAUGGAUAAAUAAAUAAAAUCUUUUUUAAAAAUCACUUUAAAAAAUAUAUUUAUUUGUUUGAGAGAAAGAAAAAGCAUGAGAGAGCAUGAGUGGGGAGAGAGAGAAGCAGGCUUGCGCUGAGCACAGAACUGGACACAGGACUCAAUCCUGGGACUCCAGGAUCAUGACCUGAGUCAAAGGCAGACACUUAACAGACUGAGCCAUCUAGGCACCCCUCUGUAGCACUUUUUUAAAAAAUACACAAUAUAGCAGUGCCUGGCCUAUUCAGUCAGAGAAGCAUGUGACUCUUGAUCUCAGGGUCAUGUUGAGUUCAAGCCCCAUGUUGUGCACAGGGAUUACUUAAGUAAAACUUAAAAUAUAUAUAUAAUAUAUAUACACAUAAUAUAUGUAUUUCACAUCUCCUUAAAAAAAAAAGGAUCACCCACAUGUAAUGUGAUCAAAGUUUAAGUUAUCACCGUUUCUUUUUUAGUUAACCAUUAACAGAUAGAUGCCCAUUGAUAGAUGAAUGGGUAAAGAGGAUGUAGCACAUUUUAUUUACACACACACACAAACACACACACGAAUAUUACUCAGCCAUAAAAAAAAAAAAUGAAUGAAAUCUUGUCCUUUGGAAGAGCAUGGAUAGAACUAGAGGAUAUGAUGCUAAGUGAAAUAAGUCAGAGAAAGACAUGAUUUCAUGUAUGUGUGGAAUCCAUAAAACAAGACAAACAAAACAGAAGCAAAGUCAUAGAUACAGAAAACAAACUGUUGGUUACCAGAGAGGGGAGUAUUUGGGAGGCUCACAAAACAGGUAAAAGGGAUUAAGAGGUACAAAAACUUCCAGUUAUAAAAUCACUAGUCAAAAAAAAUAAAAAAUAAAUAAAAUAAAAUCAUUAUGUCAUGGGGAUAUAAUGUACAACAUAGGAAAUAUAGUCAAUAAUACUGUAAGAACUUUGCAUGGUAAUUAGACUUCCAGGGAUUUCAUAAUAUAUAAAAAUAUCAAAUCACUAUGAUAUACACCUAAGACUAAUAAAGAUACUGUAUGCCAAUUACACUUCUACUUUAAAAAUCAAGUUGUACUAUAGGCCUACCCUACCAAUAAUCUUGACACUAUUAUUUCCUUACUUUCCUUCUAAAUACAGUUAUAAUUGUAUUUUUCAUUGUGUUUUUUCUCCUCAAACUUAAAACUAGGAAAGCUUCCUCUUGGAUUUUUUCCCCUCAGUUCUUGCAUUUUUCCUCAGUCUUCCAUCUUGAUCUGAUCCAUUUCCAGAAUUGGAAAGGUGUAGCAAAAGCAAAACUGAAAAGUCAUAUUUCCUUAAACUUUCCAAAUCCCUAAUAGUAACAAUUUAAUGCACUUAAUGGUUUGUGGGCAACUUCCAAAAAGUAUCACAAGCCUAUGAAUAUUAUGCCUCAGAACUAUUUUAGAAAUCAUUGUAUACUUGCAGGAAGGGCAAACAAUUUACUUGUAAGUCCCAUCAACCAAUCAGCAAAUGAAAAAUUGUGGCUGUGGGGCACCUGAGUGGCUCAAUUGAUUAAGCACCCAGCUUCAGCUCAGGUCCUGAUCUCAGGGUGCUGGGAUCCAGCCCUGGCUCAUCGGGGAGUCUGCUUAUCCCUCUCCAUUGCCCCUCCCUCUGCACCUGCUCACCUCUCUUUCAUACAUAUAAAUAAAAAAAAAUAUUUUAAAGCUAUUGUUAUAUUCUGUGGGCAUUUUUAUUCUCAAACUAUUUAUGGUUAUCAAUUCUCAACUGGAAGCAGCAAUCAAUUGAAAUUCAGUAAAUUUUAGCUUGAUAAAACAAAUGCUAACAGCACCUGGUGGCUCAGUCGGUUAAGUAUCUGCCUUAGGCUCAGGUCAUGAUCCCAGGGUCCUGAGAUCAAGUCCCACAUCAGGCUCCCUGCUCCUUUGGGACCCUGCUUCUCCUUCUCCCUCUGCCUGCCACUCCCCCCUCCUGUGCUCUCUCUGUCAAAUGAAUGAAUGAAUGAAUGAAUGAAUGCUAACAUAGUCAUCAUAUGAUAUAUAUUAGCCAGAGUGACAGUAACUACCUAACAUUUAACCAAAGCAAGUUAACCAAGGCAGAGGGUUUUAGCUACCACUAAUCUACCACUGCAACAAAUACUUUGAAAAUUGCAUAUGUAUACAAUUUUUUAAAGAUUUACUUAUUUCAGAGAAAGAAUGAAAGAGAACGAGCACACAUGGGGGAGGGGCAGAGGGAGGGGAAGAGAACCUCAAGAGGACUCCCCGCAGAGCAUGAUGACCUGAGCCCAAUCAAGGGUCAGACACUUAACCUACUGAGCCACCCAAGUACCCCCAAUUCUUUUUAUAUCAUACCUUUAAACAUAGCAUUAAAAAGCUACUGAUUAUUACAUUUCCGAAUUUAGAUGAGUCAUAGUGCUUUGUAUGCAGGACUUGAAUGUGAAUCAAAAUUGUAAAUAAGCACUUGCUUGCUAGUCAAAAAUUCAAUGUGGACAGAUUCAGAAAGAUUAAAGCAUAUAAUCGUAAUAUACAUUGUGUUUUUAAAACGGUCACUUCCCAACCGUUAACAAAGUUCAGUAAACAUGCCAAUUGCCCCUCCUCUCCUUGAACAUCUAAAAAUUACAGAAUACUUCUAAUCCCAUUGCCUCACUUUACAGACUGGCACCCGAGACCUCGGGUCUUUCAAAAUACAUCUAGCUAGCAGGAUUACAGCACCUCGGGCCACCAUGGUCUGAGGUUUACUGGAGGUGAAAGUAAGAAAAAAAAAUGAAGUCUCAGAGGAGCUCUAUCCUAGGAUAUAGAUUCAUGAGCUUCUACACCUAAAUCUGGAACAUGAAAUUGAAACAUCAAACAACAACAACAAAAAAUUACAACUCAAAUCUAGACAAUAAAACUGGCAACUCAAAUGAGAGAAAAGGCAGGGAAUGCCCAUUUUACUCAUAAGACCCUGAUCAUCAAGGAAUUAUAAAAAAAAAAAAAAGUUUGUUGAAUGGAUGAAUGAAUGAUUGUAUGAUACUUGAUACGAUGACUUGAUCGAUUUUAGAAGCUCCAAUUUCAGGAGCUAACCUGAAGGAUCAUGAUGCCAUAGCGGAAAUUAAAACUCACGGUGCAACACACAGCCCCUAUGUGCAGCACAACAGCCAAGUCUCUGCAAAUCUCCGCAUAGCUGUUGCAGGUAUUUCAUGUAUAUAUUUAUGAACUAUUUUUUCGGGUAAUUCCCGCAAAGGAGGACAGAGCCAGAGAACCGGUAAGUCUGAAAACAGGCCCUGCUCACCCAUAAGCCUUUGCAUGAAAGUGGACAGGAUCUGAGUGAGUCACUGAUAAUAAUCAGAGCGUCCCCCCAGCCAGAGGACGCGGCCCGGCAUCGCCGGCAGGCACUGCCUUUAACUAGGGAACCGGUCAGGGGAGAGUGGAGCCACCGCAACCUGCUGCAGGUAAGUAAGCAAGGCUCGCGCCGAUCUGUUUGCGAGUGGAGAUCCUGCUGAGCCCCGUCGCAGGCACCAGGGCCGGCCCCGCCCAGCCGUCGCGCAGCUCUCCUACGCACAAGGCCCGGUCCUCCGCGAGUUCAGGGCCCACCCAGGACGGGACGAGGGCGGACGGCAAGGCCGGUCCCCUCCCAGGCCACCCACGCCCCGGCGCGGCCCUGCCGCCACACGCUCCCCUGCCCCAUCUCCCACGCAGCCCCAGGCCCGCAGGGCCUAAGCCGCCCUCCACGCCGAGCUGAGACAGGCCACGAGCGGGUGCGAUCCCGCGGCCCCGGAGCAGGGGCCAGCCGCACGGAGCACGGAGCACGGAGCACGCCGCACGCCGCACGCAGCGCGCCGCCCGCACAGCUUACCUCCCUUCU